RNAcentral lists this small nucleolar RNA (99 nucleotides) under Echinops telfairi (small Madagascar hedgehog). RNAcentral's name for it is "Small nucleolar RNA SNORA61 (ENSETEG00000026925.1)". Lineage: Eukaryota; Metazoa; Chordata; Mammalia; Afrosoricida; Tenrecidae. The record is from RNAcentral.
UCUCUCCAGAUUCCUUACCCAUCAGAUCUAAACAUUGGUCUGGGUGUCUAUAAAAGUAAGAAAUGUAAAACUGAAACCGACGUGGGUUCUUUAACAAAC